AUGAGGCCACUAAGGGAUACCGCGCAAGUUGGAGGGGACAAUGCCAUCCAAACACAAAGCUUACAGACUGUCCAAGAGCUCUGGAACGAAUGGGAAAUCCAUUGCCUCAUACUUGCAAGCUUUAGCCUACAAGUAUUCCUCUUCUUUGCAGCAGGCAUGCGGAGGCAUAGUGUGUCCCGCGUCCUCAACUUCCUUAUAUGGUUAGCCUACUUAUCGGCCGACUCUGUGGCCAUUUUUGUUCUUGGACAUCUCGCGGUCCAUGCAAGCGGCUCACACCAUCUUCUUAUCUUCUGGGCGCCAUUCCUCCUCCUCCACUUGGGAGGGCAAGACACUAUCACUGCCUUCUCCACGCAUGAUAACGAGCUCUGGCGACGCCACUUGUUAGGACUGGUCACACAAGCAUCUGUGGCUGGCUACGUCAUCUCAAUAUCAUCUUGGCAAGACAGACUACUCCUAGCUGCCACAGUGCUCAUGUUCCUGUCUGGGAUUUUCAAGUACAUCGGGCGUACCCUUUGCCUUUACAUGUCUAGACCAGAGUCUCUCCGGGGUUCUAUGGUGCUUAAUUUGGAUAGAUAUGUUCAUGGCAUAUACAAUACACCAUAUAUUGAUGGGAGGUAUUCCUGCGAGCAAAUACUAGUGCAAAGAGUAUAUGAUAUGAUGCUUAACAAAGUGAGGCUACCGCCCCUUGGCCGUUCAAGUAUAAUGUUGGAUAGUCCUCUAAAUGAUAUGGCUACUAUUGAAGCUGCACAUAUCAUACCAGACUUGCUACAUGAGCUCAAAUCCAGUCCCAACCGCUCCGGAGCCUAUGUUUAUGUAAGCAAACGGCUAGUUCGUUCUUAUGAAGCAAUCUACACCAAGGCUUUCCUUCAUUUUGCGUGGUUUGUGACUUUCAAAGCAGUAACGUCCCAGGAUUAUAAUAAAAAAACAUUAGCCACAAUAUUUCUUCAUAUUUUUUCAUUCCUAUUACUCUUCCCACUUAUCUCGGCCUUGGUGACAUUAAAGCUCUUCAUGAAUGCCGAAAAGGCCCAACUCUACACCCAGACUGAUGUCACAAUCUCCUACAUAUUACUCAUAGGAGCCACAAUCCUCGAGAUGUCAUCUCUCUUCUUAUCCAUUCUUUCCUACUUUGCAUCUGAAGAAGCAAUAUCUUGUCCGCCUGUAGCUUGUUUAGCUAGCUAUAUUCACCCCGCAGGCGGACAUAGAAAACACUGGUCCAAAAUGCUCUCACAGUAUAACAUCAUGGAAUGGUGUGCCAGACAAAAUGCUACAUGCAUGGAUUUAUGCAUGGAGUUAUGCAAUAAGUCAUUACUAUCACAAUGGAUUGACAAGACAUAUUCAAGAAUCGCUGUCAGUGAAGAUCUGGAGGAGCUUGUCCUUGGCAAGUUGAUAGACUUGGGAAUGGGGGAUAAAAAAUGUUGGAACUUUGCUAGCUUCCGGGGACAGAUAGCGCUCCGGAGGUGGACUGCUAUGUGCACGAUCAUUGAUAGUGCUGACUUGCCAACAAGUGUGAUGAUCUGGCACACUGCAACAGAGUUAUGGUACUACGGAUACGAUAGGAGCAAUAAUUAUCAUCAAACUAACAAGAUGAAGGUGAGCAGAGAGUUGUCAAACUAUAUCAUGUACCUUGUCUUCAAGUGUGAUGUGAUGCUUACAAGCAGCUCCAAGCUCAUACAUAGCAACACCUGCAAGGAAAUCAAUGAAGCUGGAUCUUUUCCAUUUGAAAUAUUUGAACGUAACCUAGAAAGGCGUCAACAAGCUGCUACAACAAUCUGCGUGGACAUUCCUAGUAGCAGCAACAACAAUGAGCCGAUAACUCAAGUGCAACUUUUGAAAAACAAUAUAAAGGCUCUUACUUGUCCGGUGUUGCCUCGUGCAUGUACAGUGGUGGGCGAGAUGGGUGGCAUGUCUGCAGAUGACCGCUGGGACCUCAUCGCGGAGGUAUGGCUAGAGAUGCUUUUCUACAUCGCACCUCGAUGUGGGUCGGCUUUCCAUGCCCAACAUCUAGGUACCGGUGGGGAGUUCGUGACGCAUGUCCUUCUGCUCAUGAAGUUACUAGGCCCUUUUCUACCACCGCCAGAUGCUUAA
Molecule: ribosomal RNA, 2085 nt
Filed under: Triticum aestivum (bread wheat)
Lineage: Eukaryota; Viridiplantae; Streptophyta; Magnoliopsida; Poales; Poaceae
Description: partial small subunit ribosomal RNA
Source: RNAcentral